Rattus norvegicus (Norway rat) is the source of this 107-nucleotide small nuclear RNA. The record is from Ensembl. Lineage: Eukaryota; Metazoa; Chordata; Mammalia; Rodentia; Muridae.
GCACUUGUUUGGGCAGCGCACCUGCUGAAGGCGGAACGAUACAGAGAUGACUAGCACUGCCCCUGUGCAAAGCUGACAUGCGCAUUUGUGAAGGGCUCCAUAUUGUG